CCUACGGGUGGCAGCAGUGAGGAAUAUUGGUCAAUGGACGCAAGUCUGAACCAGCCAUGCCGCGUGCAGGAAGACGGCUCUAUGAGUUGUAAACUGCUUUUGUACGGGGGUCAACGAUGAUACGCGUAUCUGUCUGCAAGUAUCGUACGCAUAAGGGAUGGCUAACUUCGUGCCAGCAGCCGCGGGAAUACGGAGGCUUCAAGCGUUAACCGGAUUUAAUGGGGUUCAAGGUGGGGUAGGGGGGCGGAUAAGUUAGAGGUGAAAUCCUCAGGCGCAACUUCGGAAUUGCCUCUGAUACUGGUGGGCUUGAGUGUGGUAGAGGUAGGCGGAAUGCGUGGUGUAGCGGUGAAAUGCUUAGAGAUCAUGCAGAACACCGAUUGCGAAGGCAGCAUACC
RNAcentral lists this ribosomal RNA (395 nucleotides) under uncultured bacterium. Its description in RNAcentral is "partial 16S ribosomal RNA". It matches the Rfam family "Bacterial small subunit ribosomal RNA", at positions 338 to 730 of the family's 1533-position model. The record is from RNAcentral.